This 305-nucleotide ribosomal RNA is filed under the name uncultured bacterium. Its description in RNAcentral is "bacterial SSU rRNA". It matches the Rfam family "Bacterial small subunit ribosomal RNA", at positions 333 to 630 of the family's 1533-position model. The record is from RNAcentral.
UGGGGCCUACGGGGCGCAGCAGUGGGGAAUUUUGGACAAUGGGCGCAAGCCUGAUCCAGCUAUUCCGCGUGUGGGAUGAAGGCCCUCGGGUUGUAAACCACUUUUGUAGAGAACGAAAAGACACCUUUUAAUAAAGGGUGUUGCUGACGGUACUCUAAGAAUAAGCACCGGCUAACUACGUGCCAGCAGCCGCGGUAAUACGUAGGGUGCGAGCGCUAAUCGGAAUUACUGGGCGUAAAGGGUGCGCAGGUGGUUGAGUAAGACAGAUGUGAAAUCACCGAGCUUAACUCGGGAAUGGCAUAUGU